GAUGAAGAACGUAGCGAAAUGCGAUACUUGGUGUGAAUUGCAGAAUCCCGUGAACCAUCGAGUCUUUGAACGCAAGUUGCGCCCGAAGCCAUUAGGCCGAGGGCACGCCUGCCUGGGCGUCACACGUCGUUGCCCCCCCAUCUACUCCUUCGGGAUUGCGGGGGGCGGAUGAUGGCCUCUCGUGCGCCUCGUCGCGCGGUUGGCCUAAAUGCCAAGUCCUCGGCGACGCACGCCACGACAAUCGGUGGUUGCGAAACCUCGGUUGCCUGUCGUGUGCGGUCGUCGCGCAUCGAGGGCUCGAAAAAAUUGCCGGGCUUCGGCUCGACUUUCAACGCGACCCCAGGUCAGGCGGGGUUACCCGCUGAAUUUAAGCAUAUCAAUAGAGGA
RNAcentral lists this unclassified non-coding RNA (387 nucleotides) under soil metagenome. RNAcentral's name for it is "partial contains 5.8S ribosomal RNA, internal transcribed spacer 2, and large subunit ribosomal RNA". The stretch from base 1 to 122 matches the Rfam family "5.8S ribosomal RNA", at positions 35 to 154 of the family's 154-position model. The record is from RNAcentral.